UUCCAAAGAGUUGAGUUCAAUUCUGGGCCUCUCCCCAGUCUUGGUAAUUUAUCUUUGGUACAGCAUUCUGCUGAGGGUCAUUGGUUUGGGGCGGUCAUCCUCAUUGACCCUCUCACAUCCGCCCUCAGCUAAUAGG
Engraulis encrasicolus (European anchovy) is the source of this 136-nucleotide small nucleolar RNA. The record is from RefSeq and is a predicted model, not a curated record. Lineage: Eukaryota; Metazoa; Chordata; Actinopteri; Clupeiformes; Engraulidae.